GGUACUAAAGCCAGGUUCUUAAGCCCCUACAGGCUGCUGUAGGGGCAAUCUUUGCUCAGGAACGCCCCAUCAGCCUGGCUGCACUGCAGUACAUCUGCUGCACAUCUAAUUCCAUCCUGGCAUCUGCUUCUCAGAAGACCCAAGCUGACAUACCCACAGUGACAGAACAGGAAUUUGAAGCCAGGUCUGUCUAACCCCAAAGCCCAUCAAUCUCUGUCUAACCACAGAGACAGAUUAAUUGAUCAAUAAAUUAUGUUGCUAAGUCCAAUAA
This is a long non-coding RNA of Pan troglodytes (chimpanzee), 271 nucleotides long. RefSeq lists it as uncharacterized. The transcript is spliced from 2 exons. NCBI's taxonomy places the organism in Eukaryota, Metazoa, Chordata, Mammalia, Primates, Hominidae. The record is from RefSeq and is a predicted model, not a curated record.